RNAcentral lists this ribosomal RNA (427 nucleotides) under uncultured bacterium. RNAcentral describes it as "bacterial SSU rRNA". It matches the Rfam family "Bacterial small subunit ribosomal RNA", at positions 354 to 796 of the family's 1533-position model. The record is from RNAcentral.
GUAGGGAAUCUUGCGCAAUGGGCGAAAGCCUGACGCAGCAACGCCGCGUGGGGGAUGAAGGCUCUCGGGUUGUAAACCCCUUUCAGUAGGGACGAAUCAAGACGGUACCUACAGAAGAAGCUCCGGCUAACUACGUGCCAGCAGCCGCGGUAACACGUAGGGGGCAAGCGUUGUCCGGAUUUAUUGGGCGUAAAGAGCUCGUAGGUGGCUCGGUAAGUCGGGUGUUAAACCCCCAGGCUCAACCUGGGGACGCCACUCGAUACUGCUGUGGCUAGAGUCCGGUAGGGGAGCGUGGAAUUCCUGGUGUAGCGGUGAAAUGCGCAGAUAUCAGGAGGAACACCAGCGGCGAAGGCGGCGCUCUGGGCCGGUACUGACACUGAGGAGCGAAAGCGUGGGUAGCAAACAGGAUUAGAUACCCCAGUAGUCC